AAGUCGUAACAAGGUCUCCGUAGGUGAACCUGCGGAGGGAUCAUUACUGAGUUAUUACAACUCCAACCCCGGAGGGAUCAUUACUGAGUUAUUACAACUCCAACCCAUGUGAACUUACCACUGUUGCCUCGGCGCAGAGGCCUGCUGAGACUCGUUUCUCGGUGGGUGGACGCGCCGGUGGACUACUAAACUCUUGUUAAUUUUGGUAUUCUGAAUCAAAAACUUAAUAAGUUAAAACUUUCAACAACGGAUCUCUUGGUUCUG
Molecule: unclassified non-coding RNA, 264 nt
Filed under: fungal sp.
Lineage: Eukaryota; Fungi
Description: partial internal transcribed spacer region
Rfam family: Eukaryotic small subunit ribosomal RNA (bases 1-46)
Source: RNAcentral